Long non-coding RNA from Esox lucius (northern pike), 2123 nucleotides. The record is from Ensembl. Lineage: Eukaryota; Metazoa; Chordata; Actinopteri; Esociformes; Esocidae.
GGGGUUGUUAUCACUACUGUUAGUGUCCACAGCACAUUAUAUAGAGUCAGUCUGGUGAUACAGGACAUUCCAUACAUAGUGCACUAUAGCCCCAUAAGCCCUUGUUAAAAGUAGUGCACUAAAUUUGGUAGUAGGGUGCCAUUUGGGAUUCAUGUAAGACUGCCAGGAUGGUCUACAUAUCGCUGUCAUAAGAAUGACUUCCAGUGUCAGGUUAUUGAUUUCCCCACCAAUCACUUCAUGUUUUCGGACAGAUAUGCUGCUACAGGUGUUGCGACGUACUGAUGUUUCAACAGCACUAGGAAGUCGUUAUAGCUGAGCUAUGACGUCGUAUAAGAGCACUAAGAAGGUGUUAUAGCAAUGUUAUGAUGUCUUAUAACAGCAUUAGUAAGGCGUCGAUGUCAGGUUUUACUGUAUCUGUCCAUGACUGUACCCAAGCCACUAGCCAAAUGUAUUGGCAGUACGUCUGUCUAUUUCCACGUCAUGUUGGUGUUGACAGGACGUAGUAAAGCCAAAGUCCUCCACAGAUUGUAGGCCUAGAGGCCAAGCAAAUGCUCCUAUUGUAGUGCAGAAAUGAAAAAAGACACUGAUUGGGUCAGAAGACUGAAUUAUUUGUACAGUGUUGGCAAUUCCGUUGACUGACAGAGGAUAGUUUAUUCUAGAUUAUAAUCUAGAAUUCAAAGUCAUAUGUUCUGUUUUGGGGCAUCAAUUUAGAAUCCUGGCCAACUUUGUACUAGAGGAAUUCAUCAAAAUAUGGACACCAUGUUUGUCUGUUUUGUCUGACUUUUAGUAGCAAAGCUUUUGCUGAGCUACCAUCUUUUUUAGAUCACUGUGAACAUUUAUCAGUUCCUGACCUGGUAAACAACAGAAUGUUAAAUGGUCUCAUCACUUAUGAUUCUAGUUCUAAAAGAACUAGCCUUCUAAAUGUUCUCUAACAGUGAAGUUGUCCAACUUCCAGAAUCAUUCAAAAGAAUGUGAAGUGAUUAAUCCCUUAAAGGUUCUUGCUGCUUUAUUUAACGGGGGUCGGGGGGGGUUCUGAUGAUCUUUGUGGAUGUACUGAAGAACAUGUCUGCUGGUGAAGGAAACCUUUAUUUUCCUUGUUAGAAAAUGUUUGUAAUUGUACUGCAAAUUGCAUUAAUUAACGUUAUUGUGUUUUUUUUAAUGUUACCCUCACCCUUCAUUAAUUGCAAAACGAUGACCAGGAACCAGUUGUUGCCCAGUACUUGCUUCCCACUGAGCUGAGGGUUAGUGUGGCAUGAGAUCAAGAGGAAAUUAGGUUCAAACAUCAUGCCAAAUCAAAGCUUCUGUCUACAUGUCGCUUCUGCAUGAGUUAGAGUUUGUUCACUGCUUGCGUUGCGGCUCCUAAAGACGCCAGUGCUCUGAACAGGCCCCGUGCUGUUGGCCUAGAUAGACCACCGCUCUCAGGCUAUUUUAAACAAGACAGGAAGUGAGGACGGGGCUCCAAAAUGGCACCCUAUUUCAAAAGGGGUGCACUGCAUAGGACGUAGGCUGCCAUUUAUGACGCAGUGUCUCACCGGAUUUUCUUUCCAUGUCCUCAGUUGUUCUGACCUGCUGUAAGACCCACGGACGAUUGCCUGGAAGCCAAAAUGAAUGUUUAUUUUUUAUUUUUUAUUUUUUUACCACUUCCGUCUCAGUUAGUGAUGCUCGGUUGGGAUUGCAAACUGAGCUAUGGACUCUUUGUUUCUUUUAAAACUCUUGUGAUUUUAAUUCUGUGAAAAGCAUGGCUAAUUUAUUAACUAAUCAGUCAUUCCUCGGUGGCUGAAUGGUUUUGACCCAUUGGCAGUUAUCCAAGUGCAAUCUGCUACAGAAAUGUCUCUGUCCUCAGUCUAGUGCGUUUCUGUUUUGUUAAAGUUUAUUUUUGAUGACCUUAAAAGAGAGAUAAUAACUUAAUGACCUUUUUGUUGCUUUGAAAAGUGUUGUCACCUGAAUCAAAAUCACAUUGCACUGACAUUGCAGAUGUACAUAACGUUUUUGUUUUGUAAAUAAGUCCAUAAAUCGGAUGUCUUUGAAUAUGAACUGUAAAGGAAAAAAUAAAAUGACAUGUACUGUAGCUGUAUACGGAGUGGCAACAUCGCUGAUCUGUAACAGAAAUCCACAUAUUAAAU